Molecule: non-coding RNA, 2068 nt
Organism: Myodes glareolus (Bank vole)
Lineage: Eukaryota; Metazoa; Chordata; Mammalia; Rodentia; Cricetidae
Source: RefSeq, a predicted model, not a curated record
CUCACGCUGUAGCUCAGCUGUUCUCAACUAUGUGACUUGGAGCUGUACACUUAAGCCCUCUGGGCGUCAGCUGUCUCCAUAACAUAGAUUCUAAUGCUGUCUUCUUUUCCCUACAGGCUAGUAGGAAGCAUCUUGGAAGAGGGAGUUGGUAUUUAAAAGCCUACAGGGACACACUAGAUUGAGACACUUCUGGGAACUGAAGGGCAUGAUUAAGUUCACAAAGGACCGUGCUACUUCGAGAGAGUCCUUCCUCAGGAGAGAACCACAGAGGAUGUGGGAUUGCACAAUAGCUUCCCCUCUGGGUUAUGGUAGCUGUGGGGCCUUUGUUCUUCUGGAAACGGGAGCACUCUGGGCCAGCGGCACCAUCUGGUGGCCGAAAGGAGAACUUCUCAGAGCAUCUCGAGUCCACCAGCCCUGAAUCGGUCUGGUGGCACCACGGGCAGAAAGAGAAAUAGAAACAGGUGGAGAUACAUUAGACCAGCAUCUGGGAGAUGCAGCUGAAUGAGGAGUGAGGAUCCCAUCAGGAUGGAGGCCUUCCUCCAUUAUAGGAACCGAUAAUACAGGAAGCUGGUGUUCCUCUCUCUGAGUGAGGCUGUUUCCUAUCUGCAGAGUAGGGAUGUAAUAACAGUGGUCCCCAGUGGCCAGUCCUCCAAAGAGGCUACUUAACCCAGGCAGGGACAGUUUACAGUUCACAAACGUGACUCACGGGAAAGGGAUUUCAGGCACAAGGCCAGGCCACUGGUCAUCCUGAAGUCUCAAACUCCAAAAUGGCCUAUUUGUCCCUUUCCCCGUCAGGAAAACUCUCAUCCUGUCCUGUCCUGGGUGGCAUAGGUCCUGACCUGUCCUGUCUAGGUCCCCUGGAGACUGGUUUGAUCAAUAUUCACUCCCCAGUAUGGUGAAGGCUGGAGGCCAUGAGAGUUGAAAAAAAGAAAAGAAAAGAAAAACUUUGAGGCCGGGGGUGGCGUGAGGGGUGGUAUAGGAAGAGCCAACCAAGCACACGCUGAGAGCACAUGAUGUGGCUGUGCCAAGUCCCUUUCCUGCAGGGCACAGGUCCAGAGGGAGGCAGAGGGCAGGGUGCUCAGAUCCAGCUUUAUGUUCCAAGCCAAGAAAUACGACCUGCUGUUGCAGAAAGAGGUUUCUGCUAGUGUGGGAACUGAACCGGUGCCCUGGCAAGCGGCAGCUGGACGCGCGAACCCUGGAAGACAGGACCUGCAGCCCAGGGAACUCGGCAGUUGCUUCCCGUCACCGAGCUUCAGUUUCCAUUCGUGUAAAAACGGUCCACCUGGCUGGUCUCGCUCCAGGACAUAGUAGAGUGUGCUUUCUGAGGCUGCAGUGACUCACAGAGCUUUCCUGAGAGUCCAGAGAGCUCAUGAGAAGGUGGCUGACGCAUUAGGCAGGUCACAAAGCCAGCAUCAAAGCGGUCCACGUGGGCUUUCUGCUGUCAAGCUGCCUUGAACUCUCAGAAGAGCAGAGCUGGUGCCCCGUGCCACUUGGGAUGCAAAGGGACAUCGCAGGGCUUGGCUCUGGAACUCACCUCUUGUGGGUCUGGGUGGCACCAAAUCCGGAUGAGACUGUGAUUCCUCAGGGACUCAUCCCCCAUGGCAAUGCUGGUGAUGACAGUCUUGUCCAGCUGUGAGGAGAUGACACAGAGAGCUGAAGGACCCUAGGUGGCAGCCAGAAGCCCCAGCAGUUCUGCCGCCUGCUCCCAGCACCUGCGUGUAUGCAGUCGUGCCCAGCCUCUUAUGUGAGCUCUGAAUUCAAACCCAGACCUUCACACCUGUAGCGAGCACGCUUGCCCAGUGAGACUCCCUAGCCCCAGGUAAAGGACAUCUCUCUUGAUGAGCUGGGCAGGCCUCAUCCAAUGGGAUAAAAGAUCCUCAAGUGUAAAACUGAAGUUUCCUGAAGGAAGAAAGUUUACCUGGGGCCUACAUGAUGGGUUUCUGCCUACACAUCCCAGCCUGCUCUUCCAAAUGCUGACUUUGUAAAUGUCAGACUUGAGCAGCCAGCCACACAAUGGUAAAAGUCAAUUCUUUGCAAUAAAUCACAUGUGUGUGAUUAUUUAGUUAGU